AAUGAAACUCUUAUUACUAAUAGUAACAAAAUCAAAACCAAACACACCAAAAAUUGGUGGUCUGGUCGACAGAAGCAGAGAAAAGGGGCGAACCCCAUAUCCAAAACCCUAACAUCACCAUUUCUUGCAAAUUGAAGGCUCAAAUCCUAACCAAAACAAAAUCCGAGCUUAGAAUCGUGUUCCUCAUCGCGAGAGGGUCUAGAGGCAAAGAGUCCGGUUCCUCUAGCGGACAAGCCGAGGGGAAAUCACGAGGAAAAGGCGCGCUCUAAAGGCAAAGAGUCCGGUUCCUCUAGCGGACAAGCCGAGGGGAAAUCACGAGGAAAAGGCGCGCUCUAAAGUUCUCAGGUACCAAGAAAAAGGAUGAAGAUCAAGCAAAUGAAUCGAACCGAACACACACAUUUU
Helianthus annuus (common sunflower) is the source of this 402-nucleotide long non-coding RNA. RefSeq lists it as uncharacterized. The transcript has 4 exons. The record is from RefSeq and is a predicted model, not a curated record. Lineage: Eukaryota; Viridiplantae; Streptophyta; Magnoliopsida; Asterales; Asteraceae.